UAAGUCUCCUGAAGGAACGUUGAAGACGACGACGUUGAUAGGUCGGGUGUGUAAGUGUAGCGAUACAUUGAGCUAACCGAUACUAAUGAACCGUGAGGCUUAACCUU
Molecule: ribosomal RNA, 107 nt
Filed under: Citrobacter freundii
Lineage: Bacteria; Pseudomonadati; Pseudomonadota; Gammaproteobacteria; Enterobacterales; Enterobacteriaceae
Also listed under: 4 other names
Description: partial 23S ribosomal RNA
Rfam family: Bacterial large subunit ribosomal RNA
Source: RNAcentral